Molecule: ribosomal RNA, 429 nt
Filed under: Actinomycetes bacterium
Lineage: Bacteria; Bacillati; Actinomycetota; Actinomycetes
Description: Actinobacteria bacterium partial 16S ribosomal RNA
Rfam family: Bacterial small subunit ribosomal RNA
Source: RNAcentral
UAGGGAAUCUUCCGCAAUGGGCGAAAGCCUGACGGAGCAACGCCGCGUGAGUGAUGAAGGUCUUCGGAUCGUAAAACUCUGUUAUUAGGGAAGAACAAAUGUGUAAGUAACUAUGCACGUCUUGACGGUACCUAAUCAGAAAGCCACGGCUAACUACGUGCCAGCAGCCGCGGUAAUACGUAGGUGGCAAGCGUUAUCCGGAAUUAUUGGGCGUAAAGCGCGCGUAGGCGGUUUUUUAAGUCUGAUGUGAAAGCCCACGGCUCAACCGUGGAGGGUCAUUGGAAACUGGAAAACUUGAGUGCAGAAGAGGAAAGUGGAAUUCCAUGUGUAGCGGUGAAAUGCGCAGAGAUAUGGAGGAACACCAGUGGCGAAGGCGACUUUAUGGUCUGUAACUGACGCUGAUGUGCGAAAGCGUGGGGAUCAAACAGG